This is a long non-coding RNA of Pogoniulus pusillus (Red-fronted tinkerbird), 6357 nucleotides long. RefSeq lists it as uncharacterized. The transcript is spliced from 13 exons. The record is from RefSeq and is a predicted model, not a curated record. Lineage: Eukaryota; Metazoa; Chordata; Aves; Piciformes; Lybiidae.
CCCACUCGGUACAUGUUUACCUGUUUGACCUUUUCCAUUUUCUGCCAUUCUUAAGUUACUAAAAUUGCCUAUAAGCAGCCUUGUGAAAAUUCCCAACUGAAUCAGAACCCGCAAGUAAAAUUUAAGUUUUGUAUAUAGUUUGGUGGUGUUUUAUUCAGGAAAAAAACCCCGAUGAUCUUCAAGGUCCCUUCCAUAAAUUCCAUAGAUCUAUGAAGGGUCUGUGGAAUGUGAACAGAGUUUGGUGGCAGCUGGCCUUGAAACAAGGACAUUUGCCAAUGUAACAUAUCCAAGGAUGAUCCUUGGGUGUCCCUUGAAGAGAAGGCAAAGGAAUCAGCCUUUGACAUGAGCUCCUGAAAACUGAAUGCAGAAGGAAUUGCUGGUGGCAACCCAAACCCAGAUAUGAGCAGGUCAGCAUGAUUCAUGCAACCACCAUCAGCCAAUGAGUGAUUGCCAAGUCACAGCUCAAUUGUUAGAGGAAUCUCUGUUGCCAUGAUGUCACAUGACACACCCAGCAACCAAAAGGAUAAGAAAGGAGCACAGACCAAUUGGACUUCACUUGGAAGGAGCAGGCAGUGGUGAAAGGAGCUCCUGAAUGAUUCUUACCACUAAGGAGUAUCCCACAACCAAGACACGGAGCAAGACUAACUUGGGAUGAGAUGCAUUCCAUCUGAAAGAUUUGAAGCAUCACUGCAGCAGUUCAAAGGGGUUUGACUCUUGAGGUGCCUGACGGCUAUUGCAGAGUGAGUACAUUGGUCAGACCCUAAACUAAUAUCAGGGAUACUGUUUGGCGUCUGCAGGGCUGGAAAUGAUGGUGACAACUAACAUUAUGUGAAAGCUUGAGAGGUUCUGGACACACAGAGUGACCAUAACCAAUGCCUGCGAGAGACAGGAUGGAUAAUUUCUAUCAACAACACAUUAUGCAGCACCAGGGCGUCCAGAUUCACUCGCACCCUCGUCUCCUUUGAGAGCGUGCCCAGAGGGAUCCGUGCUGGAGGGCAGGUGGUUGAUCCAGCUCCUCCGGUUUCAGCUGGCCAUAUUCAUGAUGCCCCGCGUCAGUGCUGAAGGUCCUGAGAGGUUUGGCCCUUGAGGUGCCCAAGAGCUGCUGCAGAGCGAGGACAUGGAUGAGAGCCUGAGGUCCUCUGAGGAGUGUUGCUGAGCACCUGUGGGGCUGGAGAUGGCGGCGACAAGUGGCAUCAUGUGAAGACUUGAGAGUUGUUGGACACAGAGAGUGACCUGUCUCUCCUUGGCUUUCCAGAGCCAAGGGCUGUGUGGAACAUGGUGGCUGCCCUGGAUCAACACCACCUUCUGCAGCACCAGGGCGUCCAGAUUCACUCGCACCCUCGUCUCCUUUGAGAGCGUGCCCAGAGGGAUCCGUGCUGGAGGGCAGGUGGUUGAUCCAGCUCCUCCGGUUUCAGCUGGCCAUAUUCAUGAUGCCCCGCGUCAGUGCUGAAGGUCCUGAGAGGUUUGGCCCUUGAGGUGCCCAAGAGCUGCUGCAGAGCGAGGACAUGGAUGAGAGCCUGAGGUCCUCUGAGGAGUGUUGCUGAGCACCUGUGGGGCUGGAGAUGGCGGCGACAAGUGGCAUCAUGUGAAGACUUGAGAGUUGUUGGACACAGAGAGUGACCUGUCUCUCCUUGGCUUUCCAGAGCCAAGGGCUGUGUGGAACAUGGUGGCUGCCCUGGAUCAACACCACCUUCUGCAGCACCAGGGCGUCCAGAUUCACUCGCACCCUCGUCUCCUUUGAGAGCGUGCCCAGAGGGAUCCGUGCUGGAGGGCAGGUGGUUGAUCCAGCUCCUCCGGUUUCAGCUGGCCAUAUUCAUGAUGCCCCGCGUCAGUGCUGAAGGUCCUGAGAGGUUUGGCCCUUGAGGUGCCCAAGAGCUGCUGCAGAGCGAGGACAUGGAUGAGAGCCUGAGGUCCUCUGAGGAGUGUUGCUGAGCACCUGUGGGGCUGGAGAUGGCGGCGACAAGUGGCAUCAUGUGAAGACUUGAGAGUUGUUGGACACAGAGAGUGACCUGUCUCUCCUUGGCUUUCCAGAGCCAAGGGCUGUGUGGAACAUGGUGGCUGCCCUGGAUCAACACCACCUUCUGCAGCACCAGGGCGUCCAGAUUCACUCGCACCCUCGUCUCCUUUGAGAGCGUGCCCAGAGGGAUCCGUGCUGGAGGGCAGGUGGUUGAUCCAGCUCCUCCGGUUUCAGCUGGCCAUAUUCAUGAUGCCCCGCGUCAGUGCUGAAGGUCCUGAGAGGUUUGGCCCUUGAGGUGCCCAAGAGCUGCUGCAGAGCGAGGACAUGGAUGAGAGCCUGAGGUCCUCUGAGGAGUGUUGCUGAGCACCUGUGGGGCUGGAGAUGGCGGCGACAAGUGGCAUCAUGUGAAGACUUGAGAGUUGUUGGACACAGAGAGUGACCUGUCUCUCCUUGGCUUUCCAGAGCCAAGGGCUGUGUGGAACAUGGUGGCUGCCCUGGAUCAACACCACCUUCUGCAGCACCAGGGCGUCCAGAUUCACUCGCACCCUCGUCUCCUUUGAGAGCGUGCCCAGAGGGAUCCGUGCUGGAGGGCAGGUGGUUGAUCCAGCUCCUCCGGUUUCAGCUGGCCAUAUUCAUGAUGCCCCGCGUCAGUGCUGAAGGUCCUGAGAGGUUUGGCCCUUGAGGUGCCCAAGAGCUGCUGCAGAGCGAGGACAUGGAUGAGAGCCUGAGGUCCUCUGAGGAGUGUUGCUGAGCACCUGUGGGGCUGGAGAUGGCGGCGACAAGUGGCAUCAUGUGAAGACUUGAGAGUUGUUGGACACAGAGAGUGACCUGUCUCUCCUUGGCUUUCCAGAGCCAAGGGCUGUGUGGAACAUGGUGGCUGCCCUGGAUCAACACCACCUUCUGCAGCACCAGGGCGUCCAGAUUCACUCGCACCCUCGUCUCCUUUGAGAGCGUGCCCAGAGGGAUCCGUGCUGGAGGGCAGGUGGUUGAUCCAGCUCCUCCGGUUUCAGCUGGCCAUAUUCAUGAUGCCCCGCGUCAGUGCUGAAGGUCCUGAGAGGUUUGGCCCUUGAGGUGCCCAAGAGCUGCUGCAGAGCGAGGACAUGGAUGAGAGCCUGAGGUCCUCUGAGGAGUGUUGCUGAGCACCUGUGGGGCUGGAGAUGGCGGCGACAAGUGGCAUCAUGUGAAGACUUGAGAGUUGUUGGACACAGAGAGUGACCUGUCUCUCCUUGGCUUUCCAGAGCCAAGGGCUGUGUGGAACAUGGUGGCUGCCCUGGAUCAACACCACCUUCUGCAGCACCAGGGCGUCCAGAUUCACUCGCACCCUCGUCUCCUUUGAGAGCGUGCCCAGAGGGAUCCGUGCUGGAGGGCAGGUGGUUGAUCCAGCUCCUCCGGUUUCAGCUGGCCAUAUUCAUGAUGCCCCGCGUCAGUGCUGAAGGUCCUGAGAGGUUUGGCCCUUGAGGUGCCCAAGAGCUGCUGCAGAGCGAGGACAUGGAUGAGAGCCUGAGGUCCUCUGAGGAGUGUUGCUGAGCACCUGUGGGGCUGGAGAUGGCGGCGACAAGUGGCAUCAUGUGAAGACUUGAGAGUUGUUGGACACAGAGAGUGACCUGUCUCUCCUUGGCUUUCCAGAGCCAAGGGCUGUGUGGAACAUGGUGGCUGCCCUGGAUCAACACCACCUUCUGCAGCACCAGGGCGUCCAGAUUCACUCGCACCCUCGUCUCCUUUGAGAGCGUGCCCAGAGGGAUCCGUGCUGGAGGGCAGGUGGUUGAUCCAGCUCCUCCGGUUUCAGCUGGCCAUAUUCAUGAUGCCCCGCGUCAGUGCUGAAGGUCCUGAGAGGUUUGGCCCUUGAGGUGCCCAAGAGCUGCUGCAGAGCGAGGACAUGGAUGAGAGCCUGAGGUCCUCUGAGGAGUGUUGCUGAGCACCUGUGGGGCUGGAGAUGGCGGCGACAAGUGGCAUCAUGUGAAGACUUGAGAGUUGUUGGACACAGAGAGUGACCUGUCUCUCCUUGGCUUUCCAGAGCCAAGGGCUGUGUGGAACAUGGUGGCUGCCCUGGAUCAACACCACCUUCUGCAGCACCAGGGCGUCCAGAUUCACUCGCACCCUCGUCUCCUUUGAGAGCGUGCCCAGAGGGAUCCGUGCUGGAGGGCAGGUGGUUGAUCCAGCUCCUCCGGUUUCAGCUGGCCAUAUUCAUGAUGCCCCGCGUCAGUGCUGAAGGUCCUGAGAGGUUUGGCCCUUGAGGUGCCCAAGAGCUGCUGCAGAGCGAGGACAUGGAUGAGAGCCUGAGGUCCUCUGAGGAGUGUUGCUGAGCACCUGUGGGGCUGGAGAUGGCGGCGACAAGUGGCAUCAUGUGAAGACUUGAGAGUUGUUGGACACAGAGAGUGACCUGUCUCUCCUUGGCUUUCCAGAGCCAAGGGCUGUGUGGAACAUGGUGGCUGCCCUGGAUCAACACCACCUUCUGCAGCACCAGGGCGUCCAGAUUCACUCGCACCCUCGUCUCCUUUGAGAGCGUGCCCAGAGGGAUCCGUGCUGGAGGGCAGGUGGUUGAUCCAGCUCCUCCGGUUUCAGCUGGCCAUAUUCAUGAUGCCCCGCGUCAGUGCUGAAGGUCCUGAGAGGUUUGGCCCUUGAGGUGCCCAAGAGCUGCUGCAGAGCGAGGACAUGGAUGAGAGCCUGAGGUCCUCUGAGGAGUGUUGCUGAGCACCUGUGGGGCUGGAGAUGGCGGCGACAAGUGGCAUCAUGUGAAGACUUGAGAGUUGUUGGACACAGAGAGUGACCUGUCUCUCCUUGGCUUUCCAGAGCCAAGGGCUGUGUGGAACAUGGUGGCUGCCCUGGAUCAACACCACCUUCUGCAGCACCAGGGCGUCCAGAUUCACUCGCACCCUCGUCUCCUUUGAGAGCGUGCCCAGAGGGAUCCGUGCUGGAGGGCAGGUGGUUGAUCCAGCUCCUCCGGUUUCAGCUGGCCAUAUUCAUGAUGCCCCGCGUCAGUGCUGAAGGUCCUGAGAGGUUUGGCCCUUGAGGUGCCCAAGAGCUGCUGCAGAGCGAGGACAUGGAUGAGAGCCUGAGGUCCUCUGAGGAGUGUUGCUGAGCACCUGUGGGGCUGGAGAUGGCGGCGACAAGUGGCAUCAUGUGAAGACUUGAGAGUUGUUGGACACAGAGAGUGACCUGUCUCUCCUUGGCUUUCCAGAGCCAAGGGCUGUGUGGAACAUGGUGGCUGCCCUGGAUCAACACCACCUUCUGCAGCACCAGGGCGUCCAGAUUCACUCGCACCCUCGUCUCCUUUGAGAGCGUGCCCAGAGGGAUCCGUGCUGGAGGGCAGGUGGUUGAUCCAGCUCCUCCGGUUUCAGCUGGCCAUAUUCAUGAUGCCCCGCGUCAGUGCUGAAGGUCCUGAGAGGUUUGGCCCUUGAGGUGCCCAAGAGCUGCUGCAGAGCGAGGACAUGGAUGAGAGCCUGAGGUCCUCUGAGGAGUGUUGCUGAGCACCUGUGGGGCUGGAGAUGGCGGCGACAAGUGGCAUCAUGUGAAGACUUGAGAGUUGUUGGACACAGAGAGUGACCUGUCUCUCCUUGGCUUUCCAGAGCCAAGGGCUGUGUGGAACAUGGUGGCUGCCCUGGAUCAACACCACCUUCUGCAGCACCAGGUAUCUUUCUCUCUUGCUGCUUUUCCUCUUCUUCUGUUUCUUCUUUUCCAUCUACAGCUGGGCAGUAGCUUGCUUCAGGAUAGAGUUUAGUCUUCCUGGUAGCUGGCUUAUGGUUGCACUCGAUGACCUUCAAGGUCUUUUGCAACCUGCAUGAUUUUGAUGAUGUUAUGAUUCCACCUUGUCCACAUCUUGCUUUUCUGCGUCGUGGCCCUCUUUUUCCCCUUUGUCUUCUUUGCGGAGAAGACGUUGGUCUUGGGGAGGCCGUGUUGGGCAUGGGUGGGCCUGGGGAAAUCUCGGUGGAUUUGGGGAGAAGACAUGAAUGACGGAGAGGAAAAAAGAAGGGGAUGAAGCAGGAGCCGAUGGCACACAAGGCUGUGCUUGUGGAUUAGAAGGGUGCGAGUGUGGGUCAGGCCUCGUAAGAGGCCGUCCAGGGAGGUGGUGGAGUCACCAUCUCUGUAAGAGUUUGAGAAGCGUGUAGAUGUGGCGCUUCAGGACAGAGUUUAGUGGUGAUGCUGGUUGACUUUGGGUUGGAGUGGAUGAUGCUAAAGGUGUUUUCCAACCUUCACGAUUGGAAUGAGUCUUAAUGAGUCUAUGCUUCUGCAUCAUCCCCUUCUUUCUCUUCUGCGUUGUGGCCUUUGUGCUCUGCGUCGUGGUCUCUUGCGUCGUGGCCUUCUUCUUCUUUCCUGUUUUCUUGUUUGAGAGAGGAAAGGGUGGGCUUGGGGAGGAGAUGGUGGAUUGGAGGAGAAAGUGGUGGGAUUGGGGAGAGGGCUUG